Molecule: ribosomal RNA, 556 nt
Filed under: Salmonella enterica
Lineage: Bacteria; Pseudomonadati; Pseudomonadota; Gammaproteobacteria; Enterobacterales; Enterobacteriaceae
Description: bacterial LSU rRNA
Rfam family: Bacterial large subunit ribosomal RNA
Source: RNAcentral
GGGUUGUGAGGUUAAGCGACUAAGCGUACACGGUGGAUGCCCUGGCAGUCAGAGGCGAUGAAGGGCGUGCUAAUCUGCGAUAAGCGCCGGUAAGGUGAUAUGAACCGUUAUAACCGGCGAUACCCGAAUGGGGAAACCCAGUGUGAUUCGUCACACUAUCAUUAACUGAAUCCAUAGGUUAAUGAGGCGAACCGGGGGAACUGAAACAUCUAAGUACCCCGAGGAAAAGAAAUCAACCGAGAUUCCCCCAGUAGCGGCGAGCGAACGGGGAGGAGCCCAGAGCCUGAAUCAGCAUGUGUGUUAGUGGAAGCGUCUGGAAAGGCGCGCGAUACAGGGUGACAGCCCCGUACACAAAAGCGCAUGUGCUGUGAGCUCGAUGAGUAGGGCGGGACACGUGGUAUCCUGUCUGAAUAUGGGGGGACCAUCCUCCAAGGCUAAAUACUCCUGACUGACCGAUAGUGAACCAGUACCGUGAGGGAAAGGCGAAAAGAACCCCGGCGAGGGGAGUGAAAAAGAACCUGAAACCGUGUACGUACAAGCAGUGGGAGCACCCUUU